UUUCUGAGCAUUUGAUUAUGAAUGGUAUAGAUCAGACAUACACAACUUGGUUUUUUCAUGGAGAACAACUUCCUAAUAUGGAGCUAUUGCCCAGAUAUGAAAUUUAUGACCUUUAGUUACUUGGUUAAUUAAAAAGAACUACGUAGUGGCUUGAUCCCAAUCUGGCUUUUUGGGUACGUAGGCAGCCGUUUGUAAUGUACUAGAAUAUCGGUGCAGCCACAAAUCUUUUUUUCUCCUUUGAAUUGUAACAGACUGUAUCGGUUGCAUUUUUCUCUGUCAUACAGGUUGUGGCUAUCAAAGAUAUAAUAUCACCUCCUUAUAGGGAAACAUUUAAUGAUGUGUACAGGUAAAUUCAUUUUUUCUUAUUUCUUA
Molecule: long non-coding RNA, 372 nt
Organism: Magnolia sinica
Lineage: Eukaryota; Viridiplantae; Streptophyta; Magnoliopsida; Magnoliales; Magnoliaceae
Exons: 2
Source: RefSeq, a predicted model, not a curated record